This 607-nucleotide small RNA is filed under the name Drosophila virilis. RNAcentral describes it as "GJ26935". Lineage: Eukaryota; Metazoa; Arthropoda; Insecta; Diptera; Drosophilidae. The record is from RNAcentral.
GUUCGUUAUACGUCAAAAAAUCAAACAAGAGCAAAAUUUGUUCAACUUGCUGCGAAAUGAGAACAAAACCUAUGAUUUUAACAUUGCUAUUCAGUGCUUUGCUGCUGCACUUAGAGGCAGUCGAAAAGGGCGUAACUGGAAACCAUUUAGAUAUCAGUCGUAUUGUUAAAGUUCUCAGAAUUCCAGAGUCAAAUGAGUACCACAUAAAUAAUAUGCACAACAUGAGAAAAACAAAUGAAGCCAAGACUUUCAGUUCAAUUUUACGCAAAUUCAAGUUAAGAAAUCGCACAAGUUCCCACACUUCCGCAUUUAAAUAUUUUCUGAAGUUCCGCACGCAUCGUGUCCGUUUCACUCCAAGAAAAUUUCUGAAGCGCUUCAAACCCAAAAAGGAAUUCUCUCAAACACAUAAUCGGGUUAAAUUUGAUACUUUGCACAUUAAGCCCCAUUUAGCUGUGCUCUCUAAAGUCUCCCAGAAUCCAAGUGCAUUUGCGAAAAACAAUUAUAUUGUCUUACAGGGAAAACUUCAUCAGAUGCUGCAUGGCAAACACUUUUCGCCAAAACUGAGCGUUGUCAAGCUGAUGUACGCCAUAGUCGAUCGAUUUUGUGA